Camponotus floridanus (Florida carpenter ant) is the source of this 403-nucleotide long non-coding RNA. RefSeq lists it as uncharacterized. The transcript has 3 exons. Lineage: Eukaryota; Metazoa; Arthropoda; Insecta; Hymenoptera; Formicidae. The record is from RefSeq and is a predicted model, not a curated record.
GAGUUUCUCCUAGACGUUUCUUGUUGUUCCAUUCCUGGACCCGGACAGGACGAGGGCAAUGACCGCAGACCGAUACUUCGAAUGUCCUGAUAGCUCGCCUCGUGCGCAGGAUCGUCGACGAGGCAUCUUUCCGCCGAUUAUUCCGUUGGAACGUCGGAAAUUACUGCAACGGCCGAAAGAUAACGGUGAUUCCGAGAUAGGAACGGCGUCACGACAGGAUAACAGAAGGAAAACAUUACUGUGCCGGCGAGAAGCGACGCAUGCGCAGGAACAUAUGAUACUUCCUUUAUAUUAUACGGAUAUACAUUAAAAUCCGUAAGGAAGGAAUAAGGAACGUCUUUUCAAUCAGAAUUCUAUGUGUCAUCCGGUAGCCCGAGUAUUACCGUAGCAUAAACGAGCCAAU